Molecule: ribosomal RNA, 570 nt
Filed under: Meyerozyma guilliermondii
Lineage: Eukaryota; Fungi; Ascomycota; Pichiomycetes; Serinales; Debaryomycetaceae
Description: LSU rRNA
Rfam family: Eukaryotic large subunit ribosomal RNA
Source: RNAcentral
AAACCAACAGGGAUUGCCUUAGUAGCGGCGAGUGAAGCGGCAAAAGCUCAAAUUUGAAAUCUGGCACCUUCGGUGUCCGAGUUGUAAUUUGAAGAUUGUAACCUUGGGGUUGGCUCUUGUCUAUGUUUCUUGGAACAGGACGUCACAGAGGGUGAGAAUCCCGUGCGAUGAGAUGCCCAAUCCUAUGUAAGGUGCUUUCGAAGAGUCGAGUUGUUUGGGAAUGCAGCUUUAAGUGGGUGGUAAAUUCCAUCUAAAGCUAAAUAUUGGCGAGAGACCGAUAGCGAACAAGUACAGUGAUGGAAAGAUGAAAAGAACUUUGAAAAGAGAGUGAAAAAGUACGUGAAAUUGUUGAAAGGGAAGGGUUUGAGAUCAGACUCGAUAUUUUGUGAGCCUUGCCUUCGUGGCGGGGUGACCCGCAGCUUAUCGGGCCAGCAUCGGUUUGGGCGGUAGGAUAAUGGCGUAGGAAUGUGACUUUGCUUCGGUGAAGUGUUAUAGCCUGCGUUGAUGCUGCCUGCCUAGACCGAGGACUGCGAUUUUAUCAAGGAUGCUGGCAUAAUGAUCCCAAACCGC